This is a long non-coding RNA of Malaclemys terrapin pileata, 317 nucleotides long. RefSeq lists it as uncharacterized. The transcript is spliced from 3 exons. The record is from RefSeq and is a predicted model, not a curated record. Lineage: Eukaryota; Metazoa; Chordata; Testudines; Emydidae.
CAGACUGAAUAUCACUGAAAUCCUUGACAGAGCAGAAGGACCAUAGACGGUGCAGAGGGAUUUUAGAAAGAAAAAAAUACAUUCUGCCAGAGAGGUGCUGCAGUUAUGCCUUUUGCCCAUCAGAGGCUGCUUGGUACCAGAACAGAGAGCAGCUGCUCCCGGGCCAGAGCAGCCUCAGCUGCAGAUCGGAAAGAGAAGAGGUUGUGCUCCUCACAGCGCCCUGCUUGGGGACCAGAAAUUGGCUGGGAACUGCAGCCAAUGGGAGCUGCAGGGGCUGUGCCUGCAGGCAGAGGCAGCACAUGGAGCUAGGAGCUGAG